GACGAACGCUGGCGGCGUGCCUAAUACAUGCAAGUAGAACGCUGAAGAGAGGAGCUUGCUCUUCUUGGAUGAGUUGCGAACGGGUGAGUAGCGCGUAGGUAACCUGCCUUGUAGCGGGGGAUAACUAUUGGAAACGAUAGCUAAUACCGCAUAACAAUGGAUGACACAUGUCAUUUAUUUGAAAGGGGCAAUUGCUCCACUACAAGAUGGACCUGCGUUGUAUUAGCUAGUAGGUGAGGUAACGGCUCACCUAGGCGACGAUACAUAGCCGACCUGAGAGGGUGAUCGGCCACACUGGGACUGAGACACGGCCCAGACUCCUACGGGAGGCAGCAGUAGGGAAUCUUCGGCAAUGGGGGCAACCCUGACCGAGCAACGCCGCGUGAGUGAAGAAGGUUUUCGGAUCGUAAAGCUCUGUUGUAAGUCAAGAACGAGUGUGAGAGUGGAAAGUUCACACUGUGACGGUAGCUUACCAGAAAGGGACGGCUAACUACGUG
This 497-nucleotide ribosomal RNA is filed under the name uncultured bacterium. RNAcentral's name for it is "partial 16S ribosomal RNA". It matches the Rfam family "Bacterial small subunit ribosomal RNA", at positions 28 to 507 of the family's 1533-position model. The record is from RNAcentral.